AUGGAGAAAAGGAGCCUAGCGAAGAAUAUUGGGCUUGAGCUGGAAUGUGAGGUGCUUUCACACCUUAGGGAUGUAGCACUCUCUGGUGCUCACACUCUCGGGGGAAGAGAUCGUCUGGAGAGCUUGGUAUUCGACUACGCUUUGCCAAAUGAUCCUCUGAAGUUUGAUAACUCCUACUUUAUAUGUUGGCAGGACGCGUUCUUUAGAGAUUACGCUGAUUCGCACAAGAAGCUUUCGGAGCUCUACUUUACUGGCAUGGACAUGCAGAGACGAAGCCAAGAGGGCUGUGAGGAGAACUACCACUGUCUUUGCAGUUGCGGUUGCCGUCAUCACCUGCGCUUACAUAUGUUGAUCCAAGAGGACGCUCAAUGUGAUGAGGAUGCAGAUGUACUAUCCAUGCAAGCUGUUACUGGGCCGGCCCAGUUUGGGCUCCCUGCAGGUGAGCCGCCGUGUGCAUCGGCGUCGAUGCGGGCGGCACACAGCCGCGCCGCUCCCCGUGCCGGCCGGAGACUCCCUCCGCCGCCGUGCCCAGGACCUACAAGAAAUGUGGCCGCUUUCCGCUCUCCCCCUUCGGUCUCUCAUUGGAUGGAUUUCGGUCGCGUCACCCCGGUGGAGUGUAGGGUCAGUUCGGGGUCGGUGGGCAAUGGAGAGGAGGCGGCCACCGUGAGAGGAGGGGGAGCACGGGGUUCGCGCAUCGGCGCAUCUCCGUCGCUCCCCACGCCGUAUAAGAGUACAACAGCGGCGGGCGGUAGCGGAGGGGACGCCGGCCGGCUCCUCUGA
Molecule: ribosomal RNA, 780 nt
Filed under: Triticum aestivum (bread wheat)
Lineage: Eukaryota; Viridiplantae; Streptophyta; Magnoliopsida; Poales; Poaceae
Description: partial small subunit ribosomal RNA
Source: RNAcentral